GUCCGUGUAGCGCAAUGGAUAGCGCGUUGGACUUCUCAUCCAAAGAUCGUGGGUUCGAAUCACACUUGGGAUG
Molecule: non-coding RNA, 73 nt
Organism: Trichonephila inaurata madagascariensis
Lineage: Eukaryota; Metazoa; Arthropoda; Arachnida; Araneae; Nephilidae
Source: the annotation of a GenBank genome assembly